Molecule: ribosomal RNA, 335 nt
Filed under: uncultured bacterium
Lineage: Bacteria
Description: bacterial SSU rRNA
Rfam family: Bacterial small subunit ribosomal RNA
Source: RNAcentral
AAUCAACGCUGGCGGCGUGCCUCAGACAUGCAAGUCGAACGAGAAAUCCCGAGCAAUCGGGAAAGUAAAGUGGCGCACGGGUGAGUAACACGUAGGUAAUCUACCUUCGGGUGGGGAAUAACCCAGGGAAACUUGGGCUAACACCGCAUAAUGCAGCGGCACCACAUGGUGACAGUUGUUAAAGCGGGGGAUUUUAGGACCUCGCGCCUGAAGAGGAGCCUGCGGCGGAUUAGCUAGUGGUAAGGUAACGGCUUACCAAGGCGACGAUCCGUAGCCGGCCUGAGAGGGCGGUCGGCCGACACUGACACUGACAUACGGGUCAGACUCCUACGGGA